AUUGAACGCUGGCGGCGUGCCUAACACAUGCAAGUCGAGCGGAGUGGCGCACGGGGGAGUAUAGUAUAGCUGAUCUUCCCUACACUAGAGGGCAACAGAUGGAAAAGGCUAGCAAUACUCUAUAGUGUAGGAUGAGGCUGUAUUGUAGCAGCUAGUUGGUGAGGGAUUGGUGCACAAAGGCUAUGACGCAUAACUGGUCUGAGAGGAUGAGCAGUCAAUCCGGACUGGAGACACGGGCAGGAAUUCUACGGGAAGGAGCAGAAGGCAAUAUGGCGCAAGGGGGGUAACCGUGAAGCAGCAUAGCCGUGUGGAGGAUGACACUUCGGGAAGCAUAAAUUCUUGUUGUUAGGGAAGCGGUACCUACCGAAUAAGCACCGGCUAACUCCGUGCCAGCAGCCGCGGUAAUUC
This 408-nucleotide ribosomal RNA is filed under the name uncultured bacterium. Its description in RNAcentral is "partial 16S ribosomal RNA". It matches the Rfam family "Bacterial small subunit ribosomal RNA", at positions 30 to 526 of the family's 1533-position model. The record is from RNAcentral.